This is an unclassified non-coding RNA of Callithrix jacchus (white-tufted-ear marmoset), 256 nucleotides long. It matches the Rfam family "Metazoan signal recognition particle RNA". Rfam says of the family: The signal recognition particle (SRP) is a universally conserved ribonucleoprotein. It is involved in the co-translational targeting of proteins to membranes. The record is from Ensembl. Lineage: Eukaryota; Metazoa; Chordata; Mammalia; Primates; Cebidae.
UCCGGGUGUGGUGGUGCACCUGUAAUCCUAGCUACUCAGGAGGCUGAGGCAGGAGGAUCGCUUAAGUCCAGGAGUAUGCUGAUCUGGUGUCCACACUAAGUUCAGCAUCAAUAUGGUGGGGGGAAGUAGGGGACCACCACGUGGCCUAAAUAGGAGUGAACUGGCCCGGGUUAGAAAUGGAGCAGAUAAAACUCCCAUGCUGCUCAGUAGUAGGAACACACCCAUCAAUAGCCGCUGCAGUCCCACCUGGUCUUAU